Molecule: ribosomal RNA, 429 nt
Filed under: Fusobacteriota bacterium
Lineage: Bacteria; Fusobacteriati; Fusobacteriota
Description: Fusobacteria bacterium partial 16S ribosomal RNA
Rfam family: Bacterial small subunit ribosomal RNA
Source: RNAcentral
UGGGGAAUAUUGCGCAAUGGGCGAAAGCCUGACGCAGCGACGCCGCGUGAGGGAUGAAGGUUUUCGGAUCGUAAACCUCUUUCAGAAGGGAAGAAACCGCACUGUGCUAAUCAGCAGUGCCUUGACGGUACCUUCAAAGGAAGCACCGGCUAACUCCGUGCCAGCAGCCGAGGUAAUACGGAGGGUGCAAGCGUUAAUCGGAAUUACUGGGCGUAAAGCGCACGUAGGCUGCUUUGUAAGUCAGGGGUAAAAUCCCACGGCUCAACCGUGGAACUGCCUUUGAUACUGCUUAGCUUGAAUCCGGGAGAGGGUGGCGGAAUUCCAGGUGUAGGAGUGAAAUCCGUAGAUAUCUGGAGGAACAUCAGUGGCGAAGGCGGCCACCUGGACCGGUAUUGACGCUGAGGUGCGAAAGCGUGGGGAGCAAACAGG